AGAAGUUUAGGAUAAUAUAGACCAAAAGCCUUCAAAGCUUUAAGUAAGUGACUUCACUUAACUUCUG
This 67-nucleotide transfer RNA is filed under the name Hylomys suillus (short-tailed gymnure). RNAcentral's name for it is "transfer RNA-Trp". Lineage: Eukaryota; Metazoa; Chordata; Mammalia; Eulipotyphla; Erinaceidae. The record is from RNAcentral.